RNAcentral lists this ribosomal RNA (478 nucleotides) under uncultured bacterium. RNAcentral's name for it is "bacterial SSU rRNA". It matches the Rfam family "Bacterial small subunit ribosomal RNA", at positions 28 to 521 of the family's 1533-position model. The record is from RNAcentral.
GACGAACGCUGGCGGCGUGCUUAACACAUGCAAGUCGAGCGGUAAGGCCCUUUCGGGGGUACACGAGCGGCGAACGGGUGAGUAACACGUGGGUGACCUGCCUUUAGCUCUGGGAUAAGCCUGGGAAACUGGGUCUAAUACCGGAUAUGACCCUAUGGCGCAUGUUGUGGGGUGGAAAGCCUUGUGCGGCUAGGGAUGGGCCCGCGGCCUAUCAGCUUGUUGGUGGGGUGAUGGCCUACCAAGGCGACGACGGGUAGCCGGCCUGAGAGGGCGACCGGCCACACUGGGACUGAGAUACGGCCCAGACUCCUACGGGAGGCAGCAGUGGGGAAUCUUGCGCAAUGGGCGAAAGCCUGACGCAGCGACGCCGCGUGGGGAUGAAGGCCCUCGGGUUGUAAACCCCUUUCGCCAGGGAAGAAGGGAAACUGACGGUACCUGGAGAAGAAGUCCCGGCUAACUACGUGCCAGCAGCCGCGGU